RNAcentral lists this transfer RNA (73 nucleotides) under Trichonephila inaurata madagascariensis. It matches the Rfam family "tRNA". From Rfam's summary of the family: Transfer RNA (tRNA) molecules are approximately 80 nucleotides in length. Their secondary structure includes four short double-helical elements and three loops (D, anti-codon, and T loops). Further hydrogen bonds mediate the characteristic L-shaped molecular structure. tRNAs have two regions of fundamental functional importance: the anti-codon, which is responsible for specific mRNA codon recognition, and the 3' end, to which the tRNAs corresponding amino acid is attached (by aminoacyl-tRNA synthetases). tRNAs cope with the degeneracy of the genetic code in two manners: having more than one tRNA (with a specific anti-codon) for a particular amino acid; and 'wobble' base-pairing, i.e. permitting non-standard base-pairing at the 3rd anti-codon position. The record is from Rfam by way of RNAcentral. Lineage: Eukaryota; Metazoa; Arthropoda; Arachnida; Araneae; Nephilidae.
GUCCCUGUAACGCAAUGGAUAGCGAGUUGGAAUUCUAAUCCGAAGGUCAUGGGUUCGAAUUCCACCUGGGAUG